Pistacia vera is the source of this 810-nucleotide long non-coding RNA. RefSeq lists it as uncharacterized. The transcript has 7 exons. The record is from RefSeq and is a predicted model, not a curated record. Lineage: Eukaryota; Viridiplantae; Streptophyta; Magnoliopsida; Sapindales; Anacardiaceae.
UUUGCAGUGUCCUUCUCCGUUUGCCGUUGGGUCGCCGGUCACGGUUCUGCGUUCUCCUUCGUCUUGUCUCAGGCUCUCAGCGCAGAUUUUGUUGGACCAAAGGUAUUUUCUCCAAACCUCAGGGAUGAAAAUGCCAGUAAACUCUUAUUUCAAAUGAUACAAUCAACCCAAAAGAGUUCAUCAACUCAACUCAAGUAACUCAACUGACUCAACAGUGACAUAGGCGCCAGGCAGGUGAACAAAACUUUUUGAACUUAGGGUUUUUGCCCCUUCUCUUUACUGCUUCAUCAUAAACCUUUGAGCAAUUUGAUAGAGAUGGAAUAUGUAAGCCCUGAAGGACUUAGAUUAGAUGGUCGCGACCCUAUGGAAAUGAGUCAACUACAAGCCAAGAUUGGUGUUGUUGCCAAAGCAGAUGAGUUCAGAAUGAGAGCCAGCAAAUUACUGACCAAGCACUGGUGUGCUGUGAGUACAGCAUGGCUAAUUUUAGUACUGGAGAUCAUAUGAGAAAACCGAAGGGUGACAGAUGGAUGCUAGGUUACCAACCGGUACAUUUGAAGAUGUCAUGCAACUUGCUACUGAAGCAAAUUAUAUUCGAGCAGUAAAAACUUAUUUUUUUCUGUUCAUAACUUUCCUUGUCCUUAUUUUGUAAAUUUAGUUUGAUUUUCAUCUGGGACUAUGUGUUUUAAUAAUUGCUAAUGGUAUCCAUAUGUUUAUUUGCUUCAUUAAUUCCCUAAACAAGAUAGUUGAUUAUUACUUGCGUGAAUUUUUAGGAUUAUUGAUUAAGGAUGUGGGCUGCUACUAGGUAGACUU